UGUAUGACUACAUUAAAUUUAUUUAUAUGGAAAAUAGCAUAAAUUUGUAAAACAAGUGUAAGAUCAUAGGACAAUAUUUGCAAUAUAUAUCUCAGAGGAUUAGUAUCAAUAAUAUGCAAAUUAUUACUAUAAAUCAUAAAAAAUAAAACAACCAAAUUCAAAAGUGGGCAAAACUCACAAGAAGCAAUUCACAGAAAUUGCUUCAUAGAAUAGGCAGUACAAAUGAUCAGUAACAGAUUAAAAGAUGAACAAGCAAUAACACAAGUUCAAAUUUAAAAAAAGAUAAUACACACCAUUGCUUUUAACCCAUCAGAGUAGUAGAAAGUUACAAAAUCUGAAAGCAGCGCUGUUGAUAUGGUUGGAGAGGUAUAGGAUCUCUCCUACACUGCUGUUGACAGUGUAAUUGGUAGUUUGGUAAAAUUAUUAACCACAAAAACAUGCAUAGUCCAUGACUUUGAAAUUUGAUUUCUCAUUAUUUGUAAGAAUAAUAAGUACAAACUCAAACAUGCAUGCACAGGAGUUUCAAAUCACCUUUGUAAUAACUUAAAAUGGAAAAAAUGUAAAUGUCCAUUAAUAGUGGAAGAACUAGAAAACUUUGGUGUAUCCACACUAUAGAAUACUAUGUAGCAGUUAAAAAGAAUGAUACACAAUUGGAUAAAUUUGUAUACAUAGCUCCUCAGGACACAUUGCUUAGUUCGAAAAAACAUGUUGUAUGAACCAUGUAUGGAAAACACACAAUAAAAAAAUAAAUAAAACACACCAAACACUAGUAUCUCUUCACAUAUUUCCUAUGUUUUAAUUUGAGGGACAGAAUAAAAAAUUUAAAAUGAGUUGCCAGAAAAAGCAUCACUGAGAAGGUAAUAUUUGUAUAGAAACUUCUAGAAAAUGAGGAAGUGAGCCAUAAAGCUAUUUGGGAGAAGAGGAUUCCAGGCAGAGGGUGAAAGGCCCUGAGAUGGGAGCUUGCCUGACAACUUCAAGAAAGAAUGAAGAAGCUACUCUGGUUGGGAGUGGAAUGAGAGUGCGGUAUAUAAGGUCACAGAAUAACAUGGCAGGGAAGGGAUAUAUAUCAUGUAGGCCCUCGAUUAACAUAGAAAGGACUUUGGCUUUUACUCUGAGGAAGAGUAGAAACCAUUACAUGAUGUUGAGCUCAAGAGUGACAUCAUCUGACCUAAUUUUUAACAUAAAUCCUGUAGACUACUCUCUUAAGAAUAAGUUAAAGAGGAGAAAGAUAAGCACUGGAGUGAUAGUUAUAUUAUUGCAGAAUGCUGGCCUAGGACUGAUGGUGGUUAAUCAUGAGAGUGGAGAGGGUGAAGCAACUAUAAUUUGAAGGCUGAGUCUAUAGGUUUUGCUAACACAGGGGAUGUGGGAUGUGAAAUAAAGUAAAAUAUCAAGGAUGACACCAAGAUUUUAGAUCUGAGCAAAUAAAAGUAUAGAAUUAUCAUUAAUCGAAAUGAAAAAAACUGGGAAAGGAACAGCUUUGUAUAGGAGUUACAAGGUCAAUGUUAUACAUGUUAAAUUUGAAAUGUCAGUUUAUGUAUCACAUAUAAAUGUUAAGAUUUCAGGCUAGAGAUAUACAUUUGGGAGUCAUCAGAAUAAAAAUGACAUUUCAUGCCAUGCUCCUGGAUGAGGAUUCAGGUUUUGCUGACAAUGGGGUAAGUAUAGAUGUAACAGAGGUCCAAGGAUCAAGUCAGAGGGCAAUCCAACAUGUAGAGGUCAGGUUGAUGACCUAGAAAAAGAUAACCUAGGAAAAGAUGAUGAGCUGAACAGCUAGAAAGGAAGAAGGGAAAAACGGAUGUGUGUGAUGUCCUAGAAGUUAAGUGGGGAAAAAAGCAUUUCAGGAAUGAGAGUGACUCACUCUGUAAAGAGCUACUGAUAGAGCAAAUAGUAUGAAUAUCAAGAACUUGCCAUUGGAUUUAUCAAUGGAGCUUUUUAGUGACCUUGAUGCAAGAAGUUUGCAGUGGUUGAAACAUGGAGGGUUCCAGAGAGAUUGAAAGAAGAAAAGUUGGAGACAGCAGUGUUAAAAAGGAAAAGAAACCAAGGAAUUUUGCUGUAGUGGGAAGGAAGAAAAUGUGGUGGUAGUUGAAGGGCAGGAGGCUUGAACUGGAGUUCUGAAGAGAUUAUGUUUACCAGUAGUAACAAAUUCUAUGGCCAUUAUCUUGUGACUAAGGUAUGAUGGAAGACAAGAUCAUUGGAUAAAAGAAAGGUAAGAAACUAAUAGCUAAAUAUUUGAACAGUCAUCAAAAUGGAUAUUGGAAUCAGCUAUCAGCUAUAAUUAUAAAAGGAGUAGUAUAUCAGAAAAUGUCAGUGAAUCAGGAGCUCACAUAUUCGUAAAAUAACAGAUGUGAGCUUAAAGAGCUAUGGAUGGCUGCAAUAAGGAAUAGUGGGUAUUACAUCCUACUGGCAUGAGAUUCAAAUGUUGGGGUACUUAAAGAGAGAAGGAGAAUGUUUUUGGAAGCAGCAAUGAAGAGCAACCCCACUUGUAGAUAAGAGGAGUAUAGGAAUAUAGGAAGAAAACAGGCACCACUUAUGAGGUUGUCAUGGGAAGCAGAUUUUUGGGAAGAAUUCCGAGUUUCAGUUUGAGUAAGAAGAAGGAAAUUUUUUGAGCAAAGUUUGAGAAUAUAGGAAAUUUUGCUGAUAAUUGACCUCGAGGUGUGCUGGAUAAGACAAAAUGAUUUCAGUAGGUAGGAAAAAGUAAAGUUGAUUUUGCUAUCAACCCCCCAAAAUUCAUUCUCCUCCUCUUCUUUUCUCUGCUGUAUUCCCCAGGAAUCUGACUUCUAUGGACCACAUCACCUGGCUUCCUUAUUGGUCAACAUUUGUUUGAGUUUGGACAAGAGGUGGCACUGUUAGGAGACUGGAUGGUGGGAGGAAAGAGAGGAUAGGGAUAUCCAUUCUUUUCCUUCUCACUUUCUCCUUGCUUCAGGCCAUUGUUCUCACAAUGUCUGCUCCUCAACAUCAAUAUAGCUCCUGAUGAUCCUCCUUCACUGCUCCAGCUUUCACUGACCUCCUUAAACACUCUUUCUCCCAUUGUCCUUAUGAUAAUCAUUUCUUUUUGUUGUUUAUCUCUAGGUACAUCAAAUAUCUGUUGGUUGCCUUAGCUCUAACUCAGACCUCUGUAAAUUGCCUCUUCAUUAAAUCUCUUCAGUUGAACCAUCAGAGUGGCAUUCUGUUUUGUGGUAAGACUGACUAAUUCAGGGCGUGGUAUAGGGUGAGAACAGAGCUGUUUACAGCUUCCAAUUAUCAGGUGACCAGAGAUUCCUAUGGUGUCUUCCAAGAACAAGAUAAAGGGUAUGGAGAGAUCAUUGUUGACUUUCCCAAGACAGAAAAAUUUCUGAUUUCUAUGGGGAAUAAGAAGCGGGGAAUUCUUGCCAGGAGCAUGCAGAAUUCUAAGUCUCUAAUUGACUCCUGCUGAUGGAGACAUACAAUCCUGUAGGGGAUAGUCUUAAUAGAAGUGUGUGGGUUCUUUAUUGACUUGCUGAUUGACAUUCAGAAGGUGAUAAAUUUAAAUAGUAUAUAGCCUAAGACCAGAAAAAUAAAAUGCAUGAAAACAGAAGGCAAAUAUUAAGCCACUGAAUGAAUGGACUUUAAGGGGUUUAAUGUGUAUUAAUUACACACAUAUGAAUGGGGACAAAUGACUUUGAGUCUGGAGAUAAACAUAGAGCUUCACUGGAGAAAAAGUAUAGUUAUGUAACAUUUUGGUGCAAUAACGCUUUCUAAAAGCUUUUCUAAGUAUCGUGAAAUGUAAAGUCCUAAUCUGAACCUCUAUUUUCAAGUAAUAUUUGAAAUAGCAAAAUUCUGAACACAGAGGUAUUCAAAAAUUAAUUUAAACCCUGCCAUAGUGGUAUUUGAGUUAGAGAUCAGGAAGCAUACACAUAGAAGUUACAAAUGCAAACUAGAGAAGAUGAGGGCAGGGUCCUGACUCUAGCCUGUCUAUCUGUUUCAACUCAUGGCCUAGGGGUAACGUAUUCUUUGGGACCAGUUCCUAGUCUGGGAAGGAAUUUUAACGUAAUAAGACUAAUUUCCACUUGAAAUGUAUGAAAAUUAGUCCUUUUUCUUUAAUAAUUACGAAGUCAAAUGUAUUACUUGCAGUUUGUGUGUAAGGAUUGUUAUUCCGAUCUAGUUUCCAGAUUCUGCCUAUUCAGCCAGAGUUUCCAUUUUUACCUUUGCUACAAGACAAUGUGCCUGAGUUCCAGCUCAUUGGUCCUUAUUCUCUUAGCCUAAUGGCUUUAGGUUCUGCUACUCCAUCUCUUAGAUCCUGGAUUUAAUGACCCUAAACUGUUUCUUCACGACUCUUGUAACAUUUUUUAUUUGUCCUCUGAUCCUCCUAGUGUACAGUACUUCUCAGAAACACUAUAACUGUCUCCUCUUUUCUCUUUCUACGUAUUUAACCCAACCCAUAUCCUUUAGCUCUCUUGGUGAGUGGAGAGCUCUGCUGUCUUACUAGUCAAGUCUCCACAUAAUAAGAAGCAAUAACAUUUUCUACAACUUUCAAAGAUACACUGAUAUCUCGGAACUGGAUACACACAGAAUUUAGUUUUCCUAAAUAAUGUUAUUUAAUCUAAUAAAUUUAAAUUGAUUAUGGAUAUAUUGACCACCAUAAAGAACAAAGAAGAGUUUCAUGUGGAUAAUUGCUGGAGUGGAAUUAGCUACAGGAACAAUGCAGCUGAUAUUGACAUUGAUUAUUUGUAUAACUGAAUAAAAUCUUAUUCCAGUCAUCCUUUAUGCUUUUAGGAACACACAUAUAUGUGUUUGAGAGCAGACGUGUAUGCCAGAGGUUCCUUCCUAAAGGUAUUUCACACUGUGUUACAAGUUAUGCCUGGAAGAGUCUCAUAUAAUUUUGAUUGGAAAUCAUAUUGAGUUCCUUCAAAGUGGGUAAACAGUGAGUACAAGGGGAAAAUGCAAUACUAAGUAAAGAAUAGGCAAAGUUGAUAUAAGACAAAUCAGAACUUUUGGAGGAGAAAAUCACUCUUCCUAAACUGAAUGUGGAGAAAUAACUCCUGAAUUUUAUUUCCACCAUACACAACAAUCCGAAUUGAAGUGAAUCUAUUUCUACCCUGUGACUUUUCUUUGUUCUCCCUUCCACUCACCUUUUCCUGCCCCUUCCAAAAGUCCCCUACAUAUCUGAGGAGUUUUGCAGAAGUAAUCAAAAGCAAUAAUUCUGGAAAACAAAUCCAAUUCCUUUCUACAAAGAAGAAGGGGUACACAUAUAAAUGCCCACAUGCGUAUCUACCCAUAAAUUUUCCUCAGCAGGUUUUCUCAGAAGGCAAACAUUUAUCAGUAAGCAUAUCCAUUGUUACCAACUAGCCUAGAUCUACUGCUAACUCUAAGCUAUUCCCAUUUACCGUGUUCACUGUAAAUAGCUGCUCAUAUUCAGAACAGCACACUGAAUCUUUAGUCUUCAUCAUUCUAUCAGUUUUAUUCUUUCCUGGGGCAUUCAUAGUUUCUUUUUUUUUU
This 5451-nucleotide long non-coding RNA is filed under the name Equus caballus (horse). RNAcentral describes it as "lncRNA (ENSECAG00000048077.1)". Lineage: Eukaryota; Metazoa; Chordata; Mammalia; Perissodactyla; Equidae. The record is from RNAcentral.